GCAGUGAGGAAUAUUGGACAAUGGGCGCAAGCCUGAUCCAGCCAUGCCGCGUGCAGGAUGACGGUCCUAUGGAUUGUAAACUGCUUUUGUACGAGAAGAAACACUCCUACGUGUAGGAGCUUGACGGUAUCGUAAGAAUAAGGAUCGGCUAACUCCGUGCCAGCAGCCGCGGUAAUACGGAGGAUCCAAGCGUUAUCCGGAAUCAUUGGGUUUAAAGGGUCCGUAGGCGGUCUUGUAAGUCAGUGGUGAAAGCCCAUCGCUCAACGGUGGAACGGCCAUUGAUACUGCUGGACUUGAAUUAUUAGGAAGUAACUAGAAUAUGUAGUGUAGCGGUGAAAUGCUUAGAGAUUACAUGGAAUACCAAUUGCGAAGGCAGGUUACUACUAAUGGAUUGACGCUGAUGGACGAAAGCGUGGGUAGCGAACAGGAUUAGA
This 434-nucleotide ribosomal RNA is filed under the name uncultured bacterium. RNAcentral's name for it is "bacterial SSU rRNA". It matches the Rfam family "Bacterial small subunit ribosomal RNA", at positions 351 to 782 of the family's 1533-position model. The record is from RNAcentral.